Long non-coding RNA from Cimex lectularius (bed bug), 734 nucleotides. RefSeq lists it as uncharacterized. The transcript has 2 exons. Lineage: Eukaryota; Metazoa; Arthropoda; Insecta; Hemiptera; Cimicidae. The record is from RefSeq and is a predicted model, not a curated record.
CUUGAUCUCGGAAAUUUCUUGUGUUAGAAGGGUGAGUGCCUCAAGUAUAGAAGAGGAAGUAUCAGUGAUACUGGCAGGAUUGUUGUUCGGCGGAGAGCGUGCCGACCGUUUCGUGGGCGAGGGUUUCCUGUUGGAGCUCGUACACGGUGGACAACUCCAUUGUUUGUGCAGCGAUUUAACCGAUGCAAUAUCAUCCUCAGAGAAAUCCACGCACCUUCCAUGUAGCAAGCCAUUGCAAGCAGAGCACCGCAUAGACUUUUUGUCAUCCCUGCUGACAGUUUUAUUGCAAAUACUGCAAAUGGCCAUGGCUGCAACACUGACUUUGUGUGAUGAGUCGGUUAGUGGUGCAAUUUAGGAAAGGACUAUUAUGACGAAAGCAAGGUAGUACUCACGACGUAACAAGUGCCAAUUAUCAGCCGUUGGUAAACACGUUAUCCCCACUAUCGCCUCAACGUUAUCACCAGUAUUGUUCAAGCCGGCCUGGUAACGAGAAUCCAGUCACGUGAAAACGCAGAAAUUAAGUCGGAUAUUUUGCCCGAAAACGAAGAAGAAUGGAAAAUCGAAGCUUAUCUACAGGAUUAAGAUGUUGCUCCACACAAGUAAGCCAAAAUUAAAAGCAAUUGACAAACCUUAGACCGGCAGGAAAAGCAGUUGAACCAGAGUCGAUGUGUCGCGUGUCGCUUCAAAGAAGGCUUUAUUCUAAGGAUAGAUGGAAAAUAAGCAAUUACACCCAA